GGAGUUACAUAUAGUUGUAAGCCACCUAGUGGGUGCUAGGAACCAAACCUGGGUUGUCUGGAAGAGCAGCCAAUGCUCCUAAUGGCUAAGACAUCUCUCAGGCCCACCAAAGCUUUUUAUGUGAGGACUAGACUGGGAGUGAAUUCAUUCAGGGCAAGCACUACUGAACACACUAUUCCCCUCCAGCUCCCAUGAUCAAUUGUUAACAACAAAGAAACUUGUGCUAUUUAUAAGUUCUUGUUCUCCUAAAUAUCCCUCCAAUUGAUCUGUUUGUUUUUCAAGACAGGAUUUCUCCAGAAGACUCUAGUUGUCCUAAAACUCUCUGACCUGGCUGGCCUAGAACUCUCAGAGAUCUGCCUGCCUCUGCCUCCCAAAUGCUGGAUUAAAGAAAUGGAAUUCUUGGAUAAGACAGUGCACCAAGUGUAUACCUGGUGCCCAAGGAGGCCAGAAGAAGGUAUCAGAUCCCCUGGAACUGGAGUGAUAGCUGGUUGUAAGCCAAAUUUAAAAUCUGCUCCAUACCAUCCAAGCCUUCUUUUUCCUCUCUCACCCUCUCCUCCUCCUUUCCUAUUUUCUAUCUUGGAGCUAGAGAUUGAGCCUCCAGCCUUUUGUCCUCCUAAACAUCCCUUCAACUGAUCUUCUGGUUUGUUUCUCGAGAAAGGAUUUCUCCAGAAGCCGCUGGUUAUCCUGAAACAGCCUCUGUAGACCUAGUGAGGGCUAACUAUACCUGAGCACCCUGUAGACCUAGUGAGGGCUAACUAUACCCGAGCACCCUGUUUUUAUAUCAAAGUCUGUAAAGCAUGAAAUGCAUGUAGAAACAUAUUAAAUGGGCUAAAAUGU
Molecule: long non-coding RNA, 837 nt
Organism: Mastomys coucha (southern multimammate mouse)
Lineage: Eukaryota; Metazoa; Chordata; Mammalia; Rodentia; Muridae
Exons: 2
Source: RefSeq, a predicted model, not a curated record